UACGGAGGAUGCGAGCGUUAUCCGGAUUUAUUGGGUUUAAAGGGUGCGUAGGCGGCUUUUUAAGUCAGCGGUGAAAUUUUGCAGCUUAACUGUAAAAGUGCCAUCGAUACUGGUUUCCUUGAGUGUAGAUGAAGUAGGCGGAAUUUGUGGUGUAGCGGUGAAAUGCAUAGAUAUCACGAGGAACUCCGAUUGCGCAGGCAGCUUACUAAACUACUACUGACGCUCAGGCACGAAGGCGUGGGGAUCAAACAGGAUUAGAUACCCU
RNAcentral lists this ribosomal RNA (265 nucleotides) under uncultured prokaryote. RNAcentral's name for it is "partial 16S ribosomal RNA". It matches the Rfam family "Bacterial small subunit ribosomal RNA", at positions 524 to 788 of the family's 1533-position model. The record is from RNAcentral.